GUUUCGGUGGUGUAGUGGUUAUCACGUUCACCUUACACGCGACAGGUCCCCAGUUCAAUCCUGGGCGGAAACA
Molecule: non-coding RNA, 73 nt
Organism: Pristis pectinata (smalltooth sawfish)
Lineage: Eukaryota; Metazoa; Chordata; Chondrichthyes; Rhinopristiformes; Pristidae
Source: the annotation of a RefSeq genome assembly